CAAACUUCCCAGCAAAAGCAAAUCAAACUGGGAGGGGUGGGGGGAAGGAAGAGAGAGAGAAAUACCUAAACUCUGAUCAGUCCCUGCAGGAAGCAGAGCUGCUCGCCUUCUCCUGGACUGAGACCUCCAGAGCAGCAUGUAGCAGGGAUCCCGUGGGCUGGUGGGAGCUGCUGCAACAGCUACCGAGAAGCGAAGUUUCUCUUUCUCUCUCUUACUUUUUUUUUUUUCCCCCUUCCCGUCUUGCAAAACCCGAGAAAGUUUAGCCUCCUUCCUCAGAUCCCUGCAGCACCUGCGCCUCCCUGGAGAAAUACAUCUCACAGGAGGCUUUUCAGGUGCAGACACCUGAAACAAAACCCCAGCCCAGGGCAAGCCGCUGAGAGGCAGCAACUCAGUGACUUGGGGAGACUUGGUGCAACCCCCCACAACUGCUGCUCUUGGGGCUUUGCUGCCUUUUAACCCCUUGGGUUGGUGGUGGAGCUACUGCCUUGCACAGGGGUCUUUCUACUUACUUGUUAGCAAGUAGGGGGGGGGACCCACCUUCAGUUCAGCCUCUGAAGUAAAAAGGCUGGGGGGAAGAAGGAAUACACUGACCCUGGAGAACACACCUCCCUUGCACCUCGAGAAGGAGGAGAGGAAAACAAGCUCUGUAGCACAGGCUGGAGCAGUGGCCGCGGGACGAGCAGUUGCGCUGGGAUCAACAAGUGCGACCUCCUGGACGUCCCGCUCUGCGCCUCCCGCCCCCCUUCAGCCAGGCUUCAGGCUUUGAAACUUGCUGCUGGAAAGACAUUGCCCCUAUUUAGAGACCUCCCUUCUUGCCCGUUUAUAAAGGAUAUAAUCAUAGUUCACAUCUGCAGGAGAAAUGAUUCCCAAGCCUCGCACCGCCCUGGCUGUUUGUGUCCUACAUGGAUUGCUUUGGCUACAAGGUCUUGCUGAGAAACCAACUGUAUGGGGACCAAAGUUAAGCAUUGACAAAGAUCAGAUUGUAAUCAAAGCAGGAGAUCCCUUCACCAUAACAUGCAGGGGAGCAGCCGCCUUGACCUGGCUGCGAGGAAAUGAACCACACACAGAUGACAACAGAUGGCACGUAUACAGCCAUGCAUGCCGAAGCACCUCACGGGAAAUCUGCAGCACGCUUAACACCAGCAAUGCUAUCGCCAAUGACACCGGUUACUUCACCUGUGGUUACAGCAGCUUCUCUUCUAGUAAAGCCCCAGUGGUCAAGAUAUACGUGUUUGUUAAAGAUAGCAGGAACCCAUUUGUUAAGAUUUUCCAUGAGUAUCCCGACGUGAUCUAUGUACUGAAUGUUACAGAAGUGGUGGUUGUGCCCUGCCGAGUCACUUCACCAGAUAUCAGACCCAAGCUUUUCCAGCAUCCUUUGUCAGAAGAAUUCAGAUAUGAGAAGAUGACCUGGGACCCCAAAAAAGGAUUUGUCAUCCCCUCUCCUCCUUCCCGCUUCUUCAAGGGCCUGCUCAAGUGCAUCGCCACAGUAAAUGGAAAUGUGUUCACAUCCUACUACAUGCCACAGAAAGUGGAGGGUAGAGUACAGAGCCUGGCUCUGAAAGCAACUCCCAGAAGGCUGCUGGUUGGAGAAGCCCUCAAUCUGGAAUGCACCGCAGAGACCUUUGUCAAUGGACGGAUUGAGUUUCAGUGGCAGUAUCCCAAAAGGAGAAAGGAUUAUAAGCCUGUAUCAGCGUUGGACAAAAGUUCAUUGGUGUAUAAAUGCUCCAGCAAUCUGACUAUCCAGAAUGUUACCAUGGAAGACAAAGGCCGCUACAUCUGCCGAGUGGUCAAUGUAACAGGCCUGGAGACCAGUGCAAUGGGGCUGGAAACCAAUGUCACAGUCACAGUGUAUGACAAAGCUUUCCUUCGGGUUUCCUCUAAGAAAAGCCACUACUAUGAAGUGACAGCAGGACACAAGUUACUGAAACUGGCUGUGAAGGUGGAAGCCUUUCCCCGCCCAAAUAUUACCUGGUACAAAGAUGGCAAGCCAAUCAAGGAGAACCAUACUUGCUAUGAACCUGAUCCAAUGAAGUACAAGCUAGGCAUAAGAGAUGUGAGACUGAAGCAUGCUGGUAAUUACACCAUAGUCCUGAGCAAUGCUAAGCAUGGCCUAUAUGAGAACUUCACUCUCCAGCUGGUCGUGACAGAGAGACCGAAAAUCUAUGAAAAGGAGACUGAUUUUGAGAAGGUUGAGCGGGUGGAACUGGGAAGUAAACACAGACUUCAGUGCACUGCAAGUGGCAACCCUGAGCCCGAGAUCCACUGGGAGUGGCAACCAUGCAACCAGACAGGACUUCAAUGCAGACCCCAUCAGCAAAAAAUCAUGGUUCGGGAAAACAUCACUGAGGAAGACAGGUCCAUGGGCAACAAAAUAGAGAGCAUUGAAACCAUGUCUGUCAUACAUGGAGAGAGAAAAAAGAUUGUGAGCACACUGACUACAGAGAGCAGCAGUGCAUCAGGGAUCUAUUACUGUGUGGCUUCAAACAAGAUUGGCACAGAGAAGAGGAGCAUCAAGUUCUAUGUGUCUGAUGUGCCAUUUGGUCUGCAGACAGAGCCCCAGAUCACUGCCAUUGUGGGAAGUGACAUUCAACUGCUUUGCAAAGCCUCCAAGUACAUCUACAACCACCUGGACUGGUAUUACCCCUCCUCAGAGGUUGUCCCCAGUGCCUUUAGAAAUAAGAGCAUUGACAACUACUCCAUCUCCUUGAUGCUGGUCAUUACUAACAUCACACAAGAGCAUGCCGGGUUGUACAAGUGCCAAGCUCAGAAUCAGCAUAAUUCCACUGACAGGCUGGAGCAAACUACCCAGCUUGUUGUCAAAGCAAAGGCCGUGCCAUAUAUUAUUCAAAACUUCACGGACCUGGAGGUUAACAUCAGCGGCAAGAUCGUGCUGGAGUGCAAAGCAAAUGGAACCCCGACACCUCACAUUACGUGGUGGAAAAAUGGCUAUCUCAUUUCACCUGCUUCAGGAAUUUCCAUGGAAAAUAAUACCCUGAUCAUUGAGCGAGUGAAAAAAGAUGAUGAAGGCCUCUACGAGUGCAGGGUUUCUAAUGAAAUGGGCCGUGACAGUACAAUGGCAUUCAUUAAAAUAGAAGGUUCUGAAGAGAAAUCCAAUAUUGAAGUUAUCAUUUUGGUCUGCACUGGUCUAGCAGCUACUCUCUUUUGGCUGCUUCUGACCCUUUUCAUUCGGAAACUUAGAAAACCUGAUGCCACAGAUAUUAAAACAGGAUACCUGUCCAUUAUAAUGGAUCCAGAGGAAAUGCCUCUUGACGAGCAAUGUGAUCGGCUCCCAUACGACAGCAGUAAAUGGGAGUUCCCAAGAGACAGGUUGCGGCUGGGUAAAACACUGGGUCACGGUGCUUUUGGGAAAGUGGUGGAGGCGUCUGCUUUUGGCAUAGAUAAAUCUUCAACCUGCAAAACAGUUGCCGUUAAAAUGCUUAAAGCAGAAUGUGCAACUACUAAUGAGUGCAAAGCUUUAAUGUCGGAACUGAAGAUCCUCAUCCACAUAGGACACCACCUCAACGUGGUCAACCUCCUGGGCGCCUGCACCAAAGCAGGAGGUCCAUUGAUGGUUAUAGUUGAAUAUUGCAAGUAUGGAAAUCUGUCCAAUUACUUAAGAGGCAAACGUGGGGAUUUCAUUGCAUGCAAGUCCCAGGAAAACUCUGACCAAGGAGAGAAGAGUCUGGAUGAGUCCAACAGUGAUUUAACAGAGCUGAUCAAGAGACGCCUUGAGAGUGUAGCCAGCACAGGAAGCUCUGCUAGCUCAGGGUUCAUUGAAGACAAGAGUUACAGUGACUCUGAGGAGGAUGAAGAGGAUACUGAGGAUCUGUACAAGCGACCUCUGACCUUGGAGGAUCUGAUUUGCUAUAGUUUCCAAGUGGCAAAAGGCAUGGAAUUCCUGGCCUCCCGAAAAUGCAUUCAUCGGGACUUGGCAGCAAGGAACAUCCUUUUGUCUGAAAACAAUGUAGUUAAGAUCUGUGACUUUGGCCUAGCACGGGACAUUUACAAAGAUCCUGACUACGUCCGGAAAGGAGAUGCAAGACUUCCUCUUAAAUGGAUGGCUCCAGAAGCUAUUUUUGAUAAGAUUUAUACAACCCAGAGUGACGUAUGGUCUUUUGGAGUGUUACUGUGGGAAAUAUUCUCACUGGGUGCUUCACCAUACCCAGGGGUGCAGAUUGAUGAGGAUUUUUGCCGCCGCCUCAAAGAAGGAACUCGGAUGAGAUCGCCAGAGUAUUCUACCCCAGAAAUUUAUCGAACUAUGCUGGACUGUUGGCAUGGAGUACCCACGGAGAGGCCCACCUUCACAGAACUGGUUGAACGCUUAGGAGACCUCCUCCAGGCAAAUGUCCGCAGGAUGGCAAAGACUAUAUUCCACUGAACAUCACAUUAUGCCCUGAUGGAGAAUCUAACCCCAAAACCUGCCCAGUGGAAGACAAUUUGAGCAGCCGCAUUAACCGCUGGAGUGCAGUGGAAGCAAGUAUUAACAGUAAGAAGCGACCACUCAGUGUGAAGACAUUUGAUGAGGUGCCAGUGGAGAAGGAGAAAGUCAUGCAUGAGGAAAGUGAGUCGGACAGCGGGAUGGUGCUGACUUCUGAUGAGAUGAAAAGCCUGAAGAGGCUGGAAAUCCGCUCCUGGCCCUACGGGAUUAUGGCUCUGGCCCUGGAUAAUAAUUAAUUCAUCAGCCUUAGAACUGGAUGCAUCAGGUGUCCAACAAGAAGUGGUCUCAUGCUUUCGUCAUAUCAAAGAGGAGCAAAGACUCUGACCUAGCAUUGGCUUGUUUGUACAUAUGUGGAACAUAUAGCAUAGAAGCAAAAGGACUGAGGAUGCAUUUAGACUAUGUUUGGUUUAUCCUGUCUGCCUCUUUUUGAAGUUCCUACUGAGGGGUGGAACAAUUUCAAGAAAUAAGAAAACUUUAUCAAUCCAGAGACUAGUAGAGGAAGAGCCCACCUGUAUCGAUACAUACCAGACAUGCGUCAGCCUAUUUCCAACAUAAUGGGCAAGAGGGACUUUCCAGGUGAAUAGCAGAGGAAGAACUUAAGAUGAUGGGAUAGGUACUAAAAGGCUUGUAGGCAUCCAGAAGAUCUCUAAACUUUCUUUUGUAUAACUUCUAUGAUUUCCUUCUCUCUAACUUCUGACAGCCCCUCUCUGCCUGACCCCUUCCUACCCUCAAUGGACGUCCAACACUUCUUAACGCUCUCUCCAGUCUGAGGAACCAAUUGAUCCACCUUUUCAGGAAUUGUGCCAAUGCUGAGUUUGUGCUUAGUCAUAGAUAGCACAGGCCACCAAAACAGAUCACAGCAAAAUACAGUCAUCAGAAAGCAAAUGGAGCUUGGCUUCCAGAGUUUCAUGUUCUUUUAGCAAUCUGUAAAGAACAAUCAGACAAUGGCAGAAAGAGGGAGAUGGCUUUGAUGAUGGAGUGUGUCUUUUCCAUGUGUAUCCUUACAGAAAGAUCCUCUAAAACAUACUAAAAAACAGUAACCCUUUUAUAGGGGUUCUGGGAUCAACCUGUAAAAUCUCAUGGAGAUUACUGGCCCAAAACUCUUCAAAAAACUUUACAGGAAAGACCUCCAAUUCGGCUAACUAUAUUUUUAGAGUUCUUUCUUUCUCAAAGGUUUUUUUCUCUGUAGUAUCCAAGACAGAUAUAGUUCUAUUGGCUUCCACCCUAUUAAAUUCACUAUGGAUUUUCGCAAGGGUAAUUGCUAUCAUUCUUGACAGAACACACUGAACUUUUUGUUGAAGAGUGGUAUCUUGGAAGAAGAUUGCACUGAACAGUGUUUUAACACUGUGCACAGUCAGUACUUGAGAAGGGCUAUCUGUUUCUGACAGGCAGGGAGAGGAAAGAUGGGAGGUCGACUUCAUCUCUAUGAAUUCCUACAGUUUUUGGAGUACAUUCAAUAUGCAGUAUUCAGUGACAAAAGCUAGAGAUCAGACUCAUGUUGGCCUUGUUGCAGGAGGGUGCAGCUUUCAAAUUCCACCUAGUCUAUAGAAACGGAGUAUGUUUCUGGGAGCAGUGUUUCCAAUAAAAUCCCCUCAGCAAGGCAGUUUACAUUCACUGCCCCCGUACUAGAAAAACAGAGAUCCACCAAGAUCUGUAUCACUCCUCCAUCGUGUAUGAAACUUACCCUCUGUGCAUUCCUGUGUAGAGAUACUCGACUUCAUGAAGGUACCACAUGCAGUAUAGUUGCAUUAACACAGCAGUCUGCUAGAACUGAUUUACCCUGCUUCUGUACAUUGGGCCAUGUAUACAUAUCCUGAGCCACAAGUACAUAAUUGCUCUAGGGACAGAUGAACUGAAAAUAAAAAUAAAAUAAUCUUCCUGUGGAUAUUCGUUCAUUCUUAAGAUUUUAAAAAAUCACAUUUGAAGCAUCUAUUUUCCCCCUUCUGAGAUUCAGAAGAGUUGGACUAAGUAGUUUCUGGGUUGUUUUUCAACUCCCCCUCCCUCUUCAAGUUUUUAGCGAGAACCAAAAGACCAAAUUCCCACCAGACAGGGGAUCUAAUGGCAUUUCCAUCCAGAAGCAGAAAUGUAGACGUUCCAUGACAUAGCCUGCUCUUUUGACAUUUCAAUCCCAGCUCUGCAAAGGAUAAAGCCUCAAAUAAACCUGAGCUGGACAUUGGGAGUUUAGCUCAGAGUUUAAAUUGGCGGAGCUCCACUGACUUCAGUGAAGUUAUGCCAUGAUUUACAUCCAUUAAGCCUGCUAAAUUCAAAUGUCCUUUGCUAUUCCACUCCCUGCUAUGCACCUGGCUCUUCCUGGGGCAGUCAGUCCACCAAAGGGCAUCUGCCUAGAAAUGUAAUGUAGGCACAAGCCCUGGAGAAACAAUGUCCAUCUCAUUCUUUUUCCCAGGACCUUAGUGACUACAGGGUAGAACAGGGGUGUGUUUUUACUUGGUCAGUUUUUCCACUCAGUGUUUGAGGUCCAGCUGAGCAGUUGGCUUCCUUUUUAAAUGAUCUUGCAGAAUUUCUGUGGCCCAAGAACAUAUUUAUUUAAAUAUUAAUUGCAGAGAGUCUUGCUAUCCUUUCUGUUGAGGACAUGUCAUCCCUUGGCCUCCCCCACCCGUAACUUGAAAAACAACCCCAAGAAACAUAUGUGAUAGUCUCUAAAUGGCUGGAGAGGUCAGAAAAGAGUGUUGGUUUAGCAGGGGAGAUAAAGUCACCCUUGUUAAUUGUAUAUCUCUGUCUAUCAAAAACAUUUACCCUGGACCUGUUUCAAACAGUCGUUUUCUUCUUACACAAAACCUUUCAAAGGCUUAGCGUGUUUUCUAAACCAGGGUGGCUGAGUUUAUUAUUUUUCGCCAAAAUCUCGCUGUUUAUUUAUCUUGCAUUUGCUUUCUCCAUUGAGUUUAAAAGUUGGCAACACUACACACCAGCGAAUGCCGGUGUCAAGAGUUUACUGAAGAUGAAUCCGAUACCCUGGGACUGGGAGUUCUAUUAGACAAGUAAUAACCAUUUUUGAAGUCAAAGCAUUAUACGCUGCCAUAGCAAGGAGAGAGAACAGAGGCACCAUGGUGGAAUUAGAGUCCUACAAAGUGUAUGGGAGAUGCAAUGUGGGACAUAACAGUGAGUACUCCAGUGUCAGGUUCCAUCUUGUAAUGUUAACAGGCCACUACAAAGCCAAGUUUUAAACUCCUCAUGGAGAAUCUCUAAUCAAGUUACUAUUUAAUAUCUAUAAUAGGUUUGGCAUUCUUUUUCUUGUCUGACUUAAUGAUGCUUAGCUGAUCUCCAAUUAUUUGGCUAAUUUUGGCUGAGUGCCCUGACCCCAGCUGACUGGGGCUCAGCAGAUGUGCCACAGGCUCCAUGAUGCUGCAUUGGGAUUGUGUUGCUGAGAGCCAUCCACUUGGGUCUAAGGAAACCUAGGUGCACAAGAGUGAAAGCAAGACAAUUGCACUUAGCAGCAUCAGGCAUUCCAGUUCAAAUACAAAGUGUCUGGGGAAAAUACAGGGAAUACUAGCUGCUAGAGAAAUAGCUAUACAACUCGCAUCUUCAUAAUGCAAGUUUACCUGUGGGUUCUUCUGUGCUAUACAUGCACCCAGGGAAAAUGGAUCAGCAUUCCUCAGCCUCCUAUUUCCAUAUGAAUGGGGUUUGGAGAUAAAGUCUCCAUACACAUACUCAAAUGAUCUGGGAGAAUUCCCCUGGUUUUGUUUUUCUGGUAGAAAAACCUACCCAGAGACCCUGGAACAGACAUUUGAAUGGUGAGCCCCUGAAGAGCAAAGUAUUCACACUGUGAUGCUGCAUAGCCAGUGGGCCUUGUGUACACAUCUCAGAGUACUCUGCAGGCUCCCUCAGUCUACCUAGAGACAGAUGGCAGCAGUGCACAGGGAAGCCCUGAUUGGUUGACCCAGACUGUUCAGAGUCAGCCUGUGGCUCCCUACAGUACAAUGUGGUGAUUGUGAAGGGGCAUGUUCUGCUCCCCACUCAGCUGGAGCAGUAGAGUCCAACCCAGGCAACACACUGUCUCUUGGCAGGAGAGGGGAGCAAUGUACCCUGGGAUUCUGGAGAACUGUGCUGUGGCUUCUCUUAGAAGGGAAUGUGUACAGACAUUUGAUCUCCUAGGGAAAACUUUCCCAGGAUUGAAUUACCCCUAGUUGUUCCCAGGUUAUUUUUCUCCUGGAGUGGCUAUUUUUGCUCUGGAAGAAAAAUUCUGAACAUCUGUACAAUCAUGUUUUCUCCUGGGAGGAUGGAAGACAUUCUUUUUUGUUGCUAGCCACCUUGGACUAGUGACAUUUACCUCUAUGAUUCUGUACCAGAGGUAGCUAGAUUAGAACUACCCCAAAUUUAAGGCAUUCAAGCAUUAGUAACCAGCUUCUGAAAAUCUUGUGCAAGUAACUUUCCAGGGUCACGCAGUGAUGCAAUGACAAGACCCCAGAUGAGAAAAGGAAUUCUUGGUCUCCAAGCUCAUUCUUUCAGGCUCUCUGUGUCUCAGUCCGCUGUUUCAUGUGUUUAUUGGGAAUUGCCCAUUGCUGGUAGUGCUGCAGUUUUCUGCCAGAGCCUUUAAUUUGGCUUGGCUGCAUAUCUGAGAUGUUUGGUCCGAAGUUAUCACUGCUGUCAGCAGGAACAAGUCCACUGAAGCCCUAAGAGUUGCAGUCACUUACUCCCAUGGUAGACUAGUCCUGAUUGUGAAUUGAAUUUAGCUUUGUUUUGUGUUUAGAAGUGUUUCAAAGCAAAAAGAUCUUUUGACCCUAACUUUUGAGGUCCCUGUGUCAGCAGACACUGAGAUGCAUUGAGCUUGCCAGAAAGCAAUAUUGGCUUCUUACUUUCCUGUAUUCCUUGCCAAUUCACUGAGGCAAACAGAAUUACACUCGUAACUAUUAGAAAAAAGCCAGGCUUAGUAUGUAAUAUUUCAUUGGGGGGAAAAUACAGUAGCUUUAAUCACUCUUACUCUGAAAAAGUGCCUCAUUAAACACCUCGUGAAAGCUGUUCUGAAGCCCUGAAGCUCACUUUCCCUUCCUGUUACAAGAUGUAGGCAUAAGGCAUAAAUUGCUGUACUUGACACUGCAGAACCCAGUUGCUCAUUUCUUACAUGCAGCUUUUUAAAUGCAGCCUCUGAACAUGUCCCAGCUUUUUAAAUGACUCCAGACACCUGUCUGUUCCCCUCUGCUUCGGGCAAGGUGGCUGGGCAGCAGUGUGGGGAUGGCGUUCUGUCUUGCACUUCAGAACUCACUGAUCAGAGCAGAACUGCCUCCGCUCCUGUUUCCCUCCCCUAAGACAUAUGCUUACAGUCAUCACUCCACUUGCACAUUCCUCUUCAUGUCAUCUGACACUGACUUUUAAGCCGUUGGAAACUAGCUCCCUUAUACAGAAAAAUAAACAGCCCCAGCAAUGAGUUCCCAGUUCUUGGGGUGUUGAUUUUGAUGUUUCUCUUACUGUAAGCCAAAAAUCAAUGAUUAAUGGAGUGAGAUGGAAAAGACCAAUUAUGUCAUCCAGUCUGUUUCCUUCUAACUGAUUCAAAUUAUCCCUUCCAGCAUCUUCUGCCUAGCUUCUACUCCCUCUCCAGGGUAGUCAUUCCGGCAGUCUAUAUGUAUUUCCUGAUACUUAACCUAUUUUUUCCUUUGCUGGUCUCAAGGCCUGUCUGUAUCAUGCUGCGAGACCUGGGCAAAACACUUGAAGAAUUUGAAAAUGGCAUGGUGGGACUUCACUGUAGAUGUAACCAGGUCUCAUUACCAGGCUAGAAUUCUCUGUCUUUAGCCAGAUCACAUGGCCCAUUAGCAAUGUUCAUGCUGAUCCAUGCCACGGAUUUUAACUGUACUGUAACUGGGACAGGCAGACAUGUGUUGGUAGCUACUCUAAUUCAAGUUUAUAGACUAAACAGGCCUUUGAGUAUACUGACUUGGUCCUUACCAAUCAAUCCCUCAACCUCCUGUGGCAUUUACAUCUGAUGUAUAGGUUCAGAGCUGGGGGCACUAUAGAACGAAAGCCAAAGACAUUUGUAGAUUAUCAUUAUAUCCCUGUUAGUCACCAGUUAGCCAGGCUCAGACUGAUUCUUUUCAUUCCCUCACUAGUUAAUCCUGCCAACACCUCAGUCAUUUUUUAGUUCUGUUUUCAAAUUUCCCUCGUUUGCAGCCAUAGUAUUGGUGCACACUAAAUAUUAUUGGAAAAAUCUAUUUUAAUGUGCAAACUGCAGUGUUCAGACCCCCCUAAGAAGGGUACAAGGUCAUGUGGAAACUAAUUCAAGAAUUUCUGAAUUAUUAUCACUGCCUUGGAACAAUUUCUCAAUGUAUUUUAGGUCUCUCUCUCUGUCUCUGUCUGUCUGUCUCUCUUUCUCCACAAUUUCAAGUGAUAACACGAGUUACGCAGGAAUUAAUGGAGACAUGAAUAAUUAUGAAGGGUGUUGUGACAUUGAUCAGUGCCUCCUUUCUACCUUUUCCCAUCACAUGUGACCAACAGAUUAUUUGAAAAUGAAGGUUAGUGAAAGAAGAAUCAAUACAGGGAAUAUUUAUUUAGAUAGCAUACAGUCAACUUGGGAAUUCAUUGAGUCAAAUAUUAUGGCUGGAUUUUAAAUAGGAUUAGGUCACAAUACAAUUAUUAACUUUUGUAGCUCUGUAACACCAUGAGUAAUAAAAUCUUGUGUUUGGGGCCAUAAACUAUUUACCUGUGGGGCUCAGGAUUGUUUCUCCUAAUGUGCAGUAUUACAGCAGUUGGCUUUGAAUGCAGUACUAAGGGAGGGGUUGCUUUCAUUUGAAGCACUGAGUACUAGUUGCUGUUGAAGGGAGGAUACCAAAGUAGAUGGACCAGUGAUACUUGACACAGUGUGGAUGUAUCUGUAGCAAAUGAGAUUACAAGUCAGGACAAGAAGGCCCUAGCCUUGCCUUCUGAUAUAUCCUCCAAACAUAUGAUCU
Alligator sinensis (Chinese alligator) is the source of this 11331-nucleotide RNA transcript. It is a transcript of the gene named vascular endothelial growth factor receptor kdr-like, with no coding region annotated. The record is from RefSeq and is a predicted model, not a curated record. NCBI's taxonomy places the organism in Eukaryota, Metazoa, Chordata, Crocodylia, Alligatoridae. The transcript has 30 exons.